ACACGUAGGGGGCAAGCGUUGUCCGGAAUUACUGGGCGUAAAGAGCGCGUAGGUGGUUAAGUAAGUCAGGUGUGAAAGGCCAGGGCUCAACCUUGGGAUUGCACUUGAAACUGUUUAACUUGAGGGCAGGAGAGGUAAGUGGAAUUCCUGGUGUAGCGGUGAAAUGCGUAGAUAUCAGGAGGAACACCAGUGGCGAAGGCGACUUACUGGCCUGGCUCUGACACUGAGGCGCGAAAGCGUGGGUAGCGAACAGGAUUAGAUACCCUGGUAGUCCACGCUGUAAACGAUGGGUACUAGGUGUAGGAGGUAUCGACCCCUUCUGUGCCGCAGCAAACGCAUUAAGUACCCCGCCUGGGGACUACGGCCGCAAGGCUGAA
RNAcentral lists this ribosomal RNA (377 nucleotides) under uncultured bacterium. Its description in RNAcentral is "bacterial SSU rRNA". It matches the Rfam family "Bacterial small subunit ribosomal RNA", at positions 523 to 898 of the family's 1533-position model. The record is from RNAcentral.